GAUGAACGCUGGCGGCGUGCCUAAUACAUGCAAGUCGAGCGAACAGACGAGGAGCUUGCUCCUCUGACGUUAGCGGCGGACAGGUGAGUAACACGUGGAUAACCUACCUAUAAGACUGGGAUAACUUCGGGAAACCGGAGCUAAUACCGGAUAAUAUAUUGAACCGCAUGGUUCAAUAGUGAAAGACGGUUUUGCUGUCACUUAUAGAUGGAUCCGCGCCGCAUUAGCUAGUUGGUAAGGUAACGGCUUACCAAGGCAACGAUGCGUAGCCGACCUGAGAGGGUGAUCAGCCACACUGGAACUGAGACACGGUCCAGACUCCUACGGGAGGCAGCAGUAGGGAAUCUUACGCAAUGGGCGAAAGCCUGACGGAGCAACGCCGCGUGAGUGAUGAAGGUCUUCGGAUCGUAAAACUCUGUUAUUAGGGAAGAACAAAUGUGUAAGUAACUAUGCACGUCUUGACGGUACCUAAUCAGAAAGCCACGGCUAACUACGUG
This 497-nucleotide ribosomal RNA is filed under the name uncultured bacterium. RNAcentral's name for it is "partial 16S ribosomal RNA". It matches the Rfam family "Bacterial small subunit ribosomal RNA", at positions 28 to 507 of the family's 1533-position model. The record is from RNAcentral.